UUUCAGCUAGGAGAAAACAAAAGUCAAAACAACAGCAGUUUUAAAAGGGAGAGGAACAGACAAAGGAAGCACAUUGUGAGGUCUGUGCAGGAGCGAGAGAUAGAAACUGACACAUCAAUGAACCUGCGAAGUUACUGUCUUUGCUGUUUGAAUUCAUGUAUCGCUGGACAUCAGAGUGCAUCUGGGAAAAUUAACAAACGGUGAAAUUCACAGCUUAUCUUGGAGGAAUACUUUUGGGAGAGGUCACAGCACAGAAACAGAAACCAUGAAUGAGAAAAAGCGAUUCAGCCCAUCAAACUGGUUUCUGGCACAAACUUGCAUCUUAAUGCCAUAUUG
Molecule: non-coding RNA, 336 nt
Organism: Chiloscyllium plagiosum (whitespotted bambooshark)
Lineage: Eukaryota; Metazoa; Chordata; Chondrichthyes; Orectolobiformes; Hemiscylliidae
Source: RefSeq, a predicted model, not a curated record